AUGGCAUUCCAUUCCACCAUUGCAUUGCAUACCACACUGCAAUAUAACACAAUGUGCAGAAGCUGUCUGUUUUACAGUGUGUGUGAUCAUGCAAAAGAGUUCGAUUCAGACGCAAAGACCGAGAAUUCUGCAUCACAACAUGGCCCUCAGAUUUCAGUUCCAUUGCAGGCUAAUGUGGCGGGCUCCAAAGCUGGCGCUGGGGCAUGUCUGGGUGCACCGAAAGAAGCGGCGAGGCGAGGCAAGGCCAUGGCAAAAGUGCGGCGGCGACGACGAGGAGGAGAAGGACGGAGAGGCAGACCUCAACAAGGGCCGGCCCUAGGUCAGUGGCAGAGCUUCAGCGGAAGCAACGGCUGA
Molecule: ribosomal RNA, 354 nt
Filed under: Triticum aestivum (bread wheat)
Lineage: Eukaryota; Viridiplantae; Streptophyta; Magnoliopsida; Poales; Poaceae
Description: partial small subunit ribosomal RNA
Source: RNAcentral